GAUGAACGCUGGCGGCGUGCCUAAUACAUGCAAGUCGAGCGAACAGAUAAGGAGCUUGCUCCUUUGACGUUAGCGGCGGACGGGUGAGUAACACGUGGGUAACCUACCUAUAAGACUGGAAUAACUCCGGGAAACCGGGGCUAAUGCCGGAUAACAUUUAGAACCGCAUGGUUCUAAAGUGAAAGAUGGUUUUGCUAUCACUUAUAGAUGGACCCGCGCCGUAUUAGCUAGUUGGUAAGGUAACGGCUUACCAAGGCAACGAUACGUAGCCGACCUGAGAGGGUGAUCGGCCACACUGGAACUGAGACACGGUCCAGACUCCUACGGGAGGCAGCAGUAGGGAAUCUUCCGCAAUGGGCGAAAGCCUGACGGAGCAACGCCGCGUGAGUGAUGAAGGUCUUCGGAUCGUAAAACUCUGUUAUUAGGGAAGAACAAAUGUGUAAGUAACUGUGCACGUCUUGACGGUACCUAAUCAGAAAGCCACGGCUAACUACGUGC
This 498-nucleotide ribosomal RNA is filed under the name uncultured bacterium. RNAcentral's name for it is "partial 16S ribosomal RNA". It matches the Rfam family "Bacterial small subunit ribosomal RNA", at positions 28 to 508 of the family's 1533-position model. The record is from RNAcentral. RNAcentral also lists the same sequence under 1 other name.